GAGGGGGGCACGAUUGCACCGAGGUCUGCUAAAUUUCGACACCCGAGUUAAACCCCCGGGCCCCCUCG
This 68-nucleotide transfer RNA is filed under the name Neobythites unimaculatus. RNAcentral's name for it is "tRNA-Ser". The record is from RNAcentral. Lineage: Eukaryota; Metazoa; Chordata; Actinopteri; Ophidiiformes; Ophidiidae.